Molecule: ribosomal RNA, 482 nt
Filed under: uncultured bacterium
Lineage: Bacteria
Description: partial 16S ribosomal RNA
Rfam family: Bacterial small subunit ribosomal RNA
Source: RNAcentral
AUUGAACGCUGGCGGCAUGCUUUACACAUGCAAGUCGAACGGUAACAGGCCGCAAGGUGCUGACGAGUGGCGCACGGGUGAGUAAUGCAUCGGAACGUGCCCAGUCGUGGGGGAUAACUACUCGAAAGAGUAGCUAAUACCGCAUACGAUCUAUGGAUGAAAGCGGGGGACCGUAAGGCCUCGCGCGAUUGGAGCGGCCGAUGUCAGAUUAGGUAGUUGGUGGGGUAAAGGCUCACCAAGCCAACGAUCUGUAGCUGGUCUGAGAGGACGGGCAGCCACACUGGGACUGAGACACGGCCCAGACUCCUACGGGAGGCAGCAGUGGGGAAUUUUGGACAAUGGGCGCAAGCCUGAUCCAGCAAUGCCGCGUGCAGGAAGAAGGCCUUCGGGUUGUAAACUGCUUUUGUACGGAACGAAACGGCUCUGGUUAAUACCCGGGGCUAAUGACGGUACCGUAAGAAUAAGCACCGGCUAACUACGUG